RNAcentral lists this small RNA (95 nucleotides) under Klebsiella variicola. RNAcentral describes it as "RtT RNA". It matches the Rfam family "RtT RNA", at positions 23 to 113 of the family's 130-position model. From Rfam's summary of the family: This family represents a bacterial cis-regulatory element known as RtT RNA. The exact function of RtT is unknown although it is thought that it may be involved in changing the cellular response in relation to amino acid starvation. Lineage: Bacteria; Pseudomonadati; Pseudomonadota; Gammaproteobacteria; Enterobacterales; Enterobacteriaceae. The record is from RNAcentral.
UGAGAAGCUUCGACUAAGGUUCGACUCGAGCGCCAGCGAGAGAACGUUGCCGCAGGCAACGGCCAGAAGGGCGAGGAGCGAUAGCGACGUAGUUA